AUCCACGAUAGUAGGAUUGUAUCACACGUUAACUGCACCUAGAGGUUCAUCAUUCCAUUCUGCUGGGUAGCCACUAUAUGCUGCUAGGUGUCACUGGUGGAUGGUGGGACUCAUAGGGAUUAUCUUGAUGAUCGAUAAACCCUAACGAGUUGAGUUAGAAUCGUUCCAACCCAUUGAAAGGAGUUUUCAAUGAUAUAGUGAUAGAGAUCACAAUAUAUCUCACUACCAGUCAGAAUAGAACCUAUGGGGUCACACACACUAGAAGUAUUGACCGAUCCGAUGGUUGAAAUCGUGAUUAGGAAUCACAAGUAAUCAAUUUGAUUGAUAAG
Molecule: long non-coding RNA, 329 nt
Filed under: Phoenix dactylifera (date palm)
Lineage: Eukaryota; Viridiplantae; Streptophyta; Magnoliopsida; Arecales; Arecaceae
Description: long non-coding RNA (PDAC_LNC021452)
Source: RNAcentral